UCGUGCUAGACGGGGAGGUAGCGGUGCCCUGUACCCGCAAUCCGCUAUAGCGGGGUCGAAUUCCAGCCCUAGGCCUGUUCCUUGUGGGGUCUGGCCCAGGUAAGUAGUGUUGAGGAUUGGGUCUUGCGCAACAGGACUUCAUGAACCCCGUCAGGUCCGGAAGGAAGCAGCGGUAAGUGGAGCCCCCUGUGUGCCGCAAGGGCGCCUGAUUGGAGCCAACUGCCUGGGUAACGCCUGGAAGGGCUGGUCGAAGGCUGGUGCACGG
Molecule: signal recognition particle RNA, 265 nt
Filed under: Bacillota bacterium
Lineage: Bacteria; Bacillati; Bacillota
Also listed under: 1 other name
Description: Firmicutes bacterium (anaerobic digester metagenome) signal recognition particle sRNA large type
Rfam family: Bacterial large signal recognition particle RNA
About the family: The signal recognition particle (SRP) is a universally conserved ribonucleoprotein involved in the co-translational targeting of proteins to membranes. Archaeal SRP consists of a 7S RNA and homologues of the eukaryotic SRP19 and SRP54 proteins.
Source: RNAcentral